RNAcentral lists this ribosomal RNA (442 nucleotides) under uncultured bacterium. Its description in RNAcentral is "partial 16S ribosomal RNA". It matches the Rfam family "Bacterial small subunit ribosomal RNA", at positions 338 to 795 of the family's 1533-position model. The record is from RNAcentral.
CCUACGGGGGGCAGCAGUAGGGAAUCUUUCACAAUGGGCGAAAGCCUGAUGGAGCAACGCCGCGUGCAGGAUGAAGGCCUUCGGGUUGUAAACUGCUUUUAUAAGCGAGAAAUAUGAUGGUAACUUAUGAAUAAGGAUCGGCUAACUACGUGCCAGCAGCCGCGGUCAUACGUAGGAUCCGAGCAUUAUCCGGAGUGACUGGGUGUAAAGAGUUGCGUAGGUGGCAUAAUAAGUAGCUAGUGAAAUCUGGUGGCUCAACCAUUCAGACUAUUAGCUAAACUGUUAAGCUCGAGACCGUUAGGGGUAACUGGAAUUUCUAGUGUAGGAGUGAAAUGCGUAGAUAUUAGAAGGAACACCAAUAGCGUAGGCAGGUUACUGGGACGGUUCUGACACGAAGGCACGAAAGCGUAGGGAGCAAACGGGAUUAGAUACCCUAGUAGUC